Molecule: ribosomal RNA, 253 nt
Filed under: uncultured bacterium
Lineage: Bacteria
Description: partial 16S ribosomal RNA
Rfam family: Bacterial small subunit ribosomal RNA
Source: RNAcentral
UACGUAGGGUGCAAGCGUUAAUCGGAAUUAUUGGGCGUAAAGGGUGCGUAGGCGGUUUGUUAAGUCGGGUGUGAAAGCCCCGGGCUCAACCUGGGAAUUGCAUUCGAGACUGAAUAGCUAGGGUACGGUAGAGGGAAGCGGAAUUUCCGGUGUAGCGGUGAAAUGCGUAGAUAUCGGAAGGAACAUCAGUGGCGAAAGCGGCUUCCUGGACCAGUACCGACGUUCAGGCACGAAAGCGUGGGGAGCAAACAGG